GACCUAUCAGAGAGGACUACCGUUGGAAACGAACGUUAAUACCUCAUAACGUAACGAGAUCGCAUGAUAAUGUUACCAAAGAUUUAUCGCUGAUAGAUGGCCUCGCGUCUGAUUAGCUAGUUGGUGAGGUAACGGCUCACCAAGGCGACGAUCAGUAGCCGGUCUGAGAGGAUGAACGGCCACAUUGGGACUGAGAUACGGCCCAGACUCCUACGGGAGGCAGCAGUGGGGAAUAUUGGGCAAUGGGGGAAACCCUGACCCAGCAACGCCGCGUGAAGGAAGAAGGCCUUCGGGUUGUAAACUUCUUUUACCAGGGACGAAUAAAUGACGGUACCUGGAGAAAAAGCAACGGCUAACUACGUG
RNAcentral lists this ribosomal RNA (363 nucleotides) under uncultured bacterium. RNAcentral's name for it is "bacterial SSU rRNA". It matches the Rfam family "Bacterial small subunit ribosomal RNA", at positions 127 to 507 of the family's 1533-position model. The record is from RNAcentral.